GGUAAGCAGUAACAACGAACCCACAGAAGUCAGCAGAUGCCAUAUUAGUCGUCGCCUUAAAGCUCGUGGGCGGCGAUGAAGGGC
Molecule: non-coding RNA, 84 nt
Filed under: human gut metagenome
Source: RNAcentral